GACGAACGCUGGCGGCGUGCCUAAUACAUGCAAGUAGAACGCUGAAGGAGGAGCUUGCUUCUCUGGAUGAGUUGCGAACGGGUGAGUAACGCGUAGGUAACCUGCCUGGUAGCGGGGGAUAACUAUUGGAAACGAUAGCUAAUACCGCAUAACAGUAGAUAUCGCAUGAUAUCUACUUGAAAGGUGCAAUUGCAUCACUACCAGAUGGACCUGCGUUGUAUUAGCUAGUUGGUGAGGUAACGGCUCACCAAGGCGACGAUACAUAGCCGACCUGAGAGGGUGAUCGGCCACACUGGGACUGAGACACGGCCCAGACUCCUACGGGAGGCAGCAGUAGGGAAUCUUCGGCAAUGGACGGAAGUCUGACCGAGCAACGCCGCGUGAGUGAAGAAGGUUUUCGGAUCGUAAAGCUCUGUUGUAAGAGAGGAACGAGUGUGAGAGUGGAAAGUUCACACUGUGACGGUAUCUUACCAGAAAGGGACGGCUAACUACGUG
RNAcentral lists this ribosomal RNA (495 nucleotides) under uncultured bacterium. RNAcentral describes it as "partial 16S ribosomal RNA". It matches the Rfam family "Bacterial small subunit ribosomal RNA", at positions 28 to 507 of the family's 1533-position model. The record is from RNAcentral.